GUGGGGAAUAUUGGACAAUGGGCGAAAGCCUGAUCCAGCCAUGCCGCGUGUGUGAAGAAGGUCUUCGGAUUGUAAAGCACUUUAAGUUGGGAGGAAGGGCAGUAAGUUAAUACCUUGCUGUUUUGACGUUACGGACAGAAUAAGCACCGGCUAACUUCGUGCCAGCAGCCGCGGUAAUACGAAGGGUGCAAGCGUUAAUCGGAAUUACUGGGCGUAAAGCGCGCGUAGGUGGUUUUGUAAGUUGGAGGUGAAAUCCCCGGGCUCAACCUGGGAACUGCCUCCAAAACUGCAUGACUAGAGUACGGUAGAGGGUAGUGGAAUUUCCUGUGUAGCGGUGAAAUGCGUAGAUAUAGGAAGGAACACCAGUGGCGAAGGCGACUACCUGGACUGAUACUGACACUGAGGUGCAAAAGCGUGGGGAGCAAACAGGAUUAGAUACCCCUGUAGUCC
RNAcentral lists this ribosomal RNA (450 nucleotides) under uncultured bacterium. Its description in RNAcentral is "bacterial SSU rRNA". It matches the Rfam family "Bacterial small subunit ribosomal RNA", at positions 354 to 796 of the family's 1533-position model. The record is from RNAcentral.